GGACGAUCAAAUCCAACGGCUUUAUUUUAUUAUUGUGUGUGUAUGUAUAUGUUUCUAGGUCAGAACGAUAUCGGAUUUCUUAGGCUACCGAACGAUAAAUCUCCUUUCUUCGAUUCCGGUUAUUAGAGGAAGAAGAGUUAACAGAUUUAAGAAGUAACUUAUGCAGAAAUAUAAAGGGGAAAGACAAGAAACGCAAGAACUUAUAGUCGAGCAGGAAGGAAGAAAGAAAGGCAGGAAGGCAGGAAGGAAGAUAGGAAGAAAGGAAGGAAGGAAGGAAGGAAGGAAGGAAGGAAGGAAGGGCGAAUGGGUGUGUUGGGAGGGAUAGGAGGAUGGAAAGUGGGAUAGAGGGCGGCCAUGGUGUUGCUGACCCGACGACCGCUCUAACCUUCCGUCCCGACGCCCCGCAUCCCGAUCACCACCAUCGAGAAUCCCGUCCUCUAUUUCGAACUGUAGUCCUAGACCAAUAAACGACUUUUGAAUAGUA
Vespula pensylvanica (western yellowjacket) is the source of this 484-nucleotide long non-coding RNA. RefSeq lists it as uncharacterized. The transcript has 3 exons. The record is from RefSeq and is a predicted model, not a curated record. NCBI's taxonomy places the organism in Eukaryota, Metazoa, Arthropoda, Insecta, Hymenoptera, Vespidae.